CCUACGGGUGGCAGCAGUGGGGGAUAUUGCACAAUGGGGGGAACCCUGAUGCAGUGACGCCGCGUGGGUGAAGAAGCGCCUAGGCGCGUAAAGCCCUGUCAGCAGGGAAGAAAAUGACGGUAUCUGAAGAAGAAGCACCGGCUAACUACGUGCCAGCAGCCGCGGUAAUACGUAGGGGGCAAGCGUUAUCCGGAUUUACUGGGUGUAAAGGGGGCGUAGACGGCGAUGCAAGUCUGAAGUGAAAGGCGGGGGCCCAACCCCCGGACUGCAUUGGAAACUGUAUGGCUGGAGUGCAGGAGAGGUAAGUGGAAUUCCUGGUGUAGCGGUGAAAUGCGUAGAUAUUAGGAGGAACACCAGUGGCGAAGGCGGCUUACUGGACUGUAACUGACGUUGAGGCACGAAAGCGUGGGGAGCAAACAGGAUUAGAUACCCUAGUAGUC
This 440-nucleotide ribosomal RNA is filed under the name uncultured bacterium. RNAcentral describes it as "partial 16S ribosomal RNA". It matches the Rfam family "Bacterial small subunit ribosomal RNA", at positions 338 to 795 of the family's 1533-position model. The record is from RNAcentral.